This 458-nucleotide ribosomal RNA is filed under the name uncultured bacterium. Its description in RNAcentral is "partial 16S ribosomal RNA". It matches the Rfam family "Bacterial small subunit ribosomal RNA", at positions 338 to 795 of the family's 1533-position model. The record is from RNAcentral.
CCUACGGGUGGCAGCAGUGAGGAAUAUUGGUCAAUGGGCGAGAGCCUGAACCAGCCAAGUCGCGUGAGGGAGUACUGCCCUAUGGGUUGUAAACCUCUUUUGUCGGGGAGCAAAAGCCGGACGUGUCCGGCUGUGAGAGUACUCGAAGAAAAAGCAUCGGCUAACUCCGUGCCAGCAGCCGCGGUAAUACGGAGGAUGCGAGCGUUAUCCGGAUUUAUUGGGUUUAAGGGGUGCGCAGGCGGAUUUUUAAGUCAGCGGUAAAAUCGUGGGGCUCAACCCCAUCCAGCCGUUGAAACUGGGGAUCUAGAGUGUGCGAGAGGUAUGCGGAAUGCGUGGUGUAGCGGUGAAAUGCAUAGAUAUCACGCAGAACCCCGAUUGCGAAGGCAGCAUACCGGUGCACAACUGACGCUCAGGCACGAAAGCGUGGGUAUCGAACAGGAUUAGAUACCCCUGUAGUC